GAGUUAAGUAUAAACCCCUUUACAAGUAUCAAUUGGAGGGCAAGUCUGGUGCCAGCAGCCGCGGUAAUUCCAGCUCCAAUAGCGUAUAUUAAAGUUGUUGCAGUUAAAAAGCUCGUAGUUGGAUUUCUGUUAAUAAUUUAUAUAUAAUAUUACGGUAUUUAUAUAAUAUUAACAUAAUUCAUAUUACUUUAUAUUUUAGAGUAUAUGAAAUUUUACUUUGAGAAAAUUAGAGUGCUUAAAGCAGGCAUAUGCCUUGAAUACUCCAGCAUGGAAUAAUAUUAAAGAUUUUUAUCUUUCUUAUUGGUUCUAAGAUAAAAAUAAUGAUUAAUAGGGACAGUUGGGGGCAUUUGUAUUUAACAGUCAGAGGUGAAAUUCUUAGAUUUGUUAAAGACAAACUA
This 398-nucleotide ribosomal RNA is filed under the name Cryptosporidium varanii. RNAcentral describes it as "SSU rRNA". It matches the Rfam family "Eukaryotic small subunit ribosomal RNA", at positions 516 to 942 of the family's 1831-position model. Lineage: Eukaryota; Apicomplexa; Conoidasida; Eucoccidiorida; Cryptosporidiidae. The record is from RNAcentral.